AUUGAACGCUGGCGGCAUGCCUUACACAUGCAAGUCGAACGGCGGCACGGGGGCAACCCUGGUGGCGAGUGGCGAACGGGUGAGUAAUACAUCGGAACGUGUCCAGUCGUGGGGGAUAACCAGUCGAAAGACUGGCUAAUACCGCAUGCGCCCGAAAGGGGGAAAGCGGGGGACCCGAGGGUAACUUCGGGCCUCGCGCGAUUGGAGCGGCCGAUGUCCGAUUAGCUAGUUGGCGGGGUAACGCCCACCAAGGCGACGAUCGGUAGCUGGUCUGAGAGGACGACCAGCCACACUGGGACUGAGACACGGCCCAGACUCCUACGGGAGGCAGCAGUGGGGAAUUUUGGACAAUGGGGACAACCCCUGAUCCAGCCAUUCCGCGUGAGUGAAGAAGGCCUCGG
Molecule: ribosomal RNA, 401 nt
Filed under: uncultured bacterium
Lineage: Bacteria
Description: bacterial SSU rRNA
Rfam family: Bacterial small subunit ribosomal RNA
Source: RNAcentral